This 468-nucleotide ribosomal RNA is filed under the name uncultured bacterium. Its description in RNAcentral is "partial 16S ribosomal RNA". It matches the Rfam family "Bacterial small subunit ribosomal RNA", at positions 28 to 507 of the family's 1533-position model. The record is from RNAcentral.
GACGAACGCUGGCGGCGUGCUUAACACAUGCAAGUCGAACGGUGAAGCUCCAGCUUGCUGGAGUGGACCAGUGGCGAACGGGUGAGAAACACGUGAGCAACCUGCCCCAGACUCUGGAAUAAGCGCUGGAAACGGCGUCUAAUACUGGAUACGAGAUCAAGCCGCAUGGUUAUGGUCUGGAAAGUUUUUCGGUUUGGGAUGGGCUCGCGGCCUAUCAGCUUGUUGGUGAGGUAAUGGCUCACCAAGGCGACGACGGGUAGCCGGCCUGAGAGGGCGACCGGCCACACUGGGACUGAGACACGGCCCAGACUCCUACGGGAGGCAGCAGUGGGGAAUAUUGCACAAUGGGCGAAAGCCUGAUGCAGCGACGCCGCGUGAGGGAUGACGGCCUUCGGGUUGUAAACCUCUUUCAGCAGGGAAGAAGCGAAAGUGACGGUACCUGCAGAAGAAGCACCGGCUAACUACGUG